RNAcentral lists this ribosomal RNA (119 nucleotides) under Pteropus alecto (black flying fox). Lineage: Eukaryota; Metazoa; Chordata; Mammalia; Chiroptera; Pteropodidae. RNAcentral also lists the same sequence under 1 other name. The record is from RNAcentral.
GUCUAUGGCCAUGCCACCCUGAAUGUGCUCGGUCCUGUCUGAUCUCAGAAGCUAAGCAAGAUCAGGCCUGGUUAGUACUUGGAUGGGAGACCACCUAGGAAGACCAGGUGCUGUAGGAG